CCACUUGUUCUGUCAUAUUGAACAAUGGAACUGAAUAUUGCUGGGAGUUUAAUCUUCAUACUGGGGUCUCUACAAGGGAUCCAGUGUGAUGACAUAAGGUUGGAUCAGUCACCUCCUCAGGUGAAGAGACCAGGAGAGUCUGUCAAGCUGUCCUGUGUCAUUUCUGGGUUUCAAAUGACAAACUACUACAUGCACUGGAUGCGACAGAAAGCAGGUGGAGGACUGGAGUGGAUUGGAAGAGUAAACUCUGGUAGUACAUAUGAUCCAGACUACGCAGCAUCCCUGAAAGGACAGUUCACCCUGACUGAGGACGUCUCCAAAAGCACACAGUACUUGGAGGCCAAGAGUCUGAAAACAGAGGACACGGCUGUUUAUUACUGUGCUCGAGACUCACAUUGA
This is a non-coding RNA of Scleropages formosus (Asian bonytongue), 399 nucleotides long. The record is from the annotation of a RefSeq genome assembly. NCBI's taxonomy places the organism in Eukaryota, Metazoa, Chordata, Actinopteri, Osteoglossiformes, Osteoglossidae.